Drosophila willistoni is the source of this 71-nucleotide long non-coding RNA. RefSeq lists it as uncharacterized. The record is from RefSeq and is a predicted model, not a curated record. Lineage: Eukaryota; Metazoa; Arthropoda; Insecta; Diptera; Drosophilidae. The transcript has 3 exons.
GAAAUGAAUAAAACAGGUGCUCAACCCAAGCAAAGACGUCCAACUGGGACACUUCAGAAUGGAAAAGCUGC